CCUGUUGCCACAAACCCGUAGAUCCGAACUUGUGGUAUUAGUCCGCACAAGCUUGUGUCUAUAGGUAUGUGUCUUUUAGG
Cercocebus atys (sooty mangabey) is the source of this 80-nucleotide microRNA precursor. The record is from Ensembl. NCBI's taxonomy places the organism in Eukaryota, Metazoa, Chordata, Mammalia, Primates, Cercopithecidae.